CCUAGCUUCUGACCUGUAAAGAUCUCUCUGCAGCUCUGAUAAAAGGAGGCUAUCUCGUGGGAAGAUUUUACAUGGGGUUACUGAAGCAGCAAGUGCAUGUUUAUUUGUUACACACAAUAUUCUACGAGAUAAGGUGACGUGCGCAAGUUUCUUUGUCAGGUCUACAAGUGUUUCAGAUAAUCAGUAAAUCAGUAAG
Molecule: long non-coding RNA, 196 nt
Organism: Xenopus laevis (African clawed frog)
Lineage: Eukaryota; Metazoa; Chordata; Amphibia; Anura; Pipidae
Exons: 3
Source: RefSeq, a predicted model, not a curated record